CCCCUAGAUGUUCUGGGCCGCACGCGCGCUACACUGAACAGUUCAACAAGUCUUAACCUUGGCCGAUAGGUCUGGGUAAUCUUUGAACGCUGUUCGUGAUUGGGAUAGACCUUUGCAAUUAUGGGUCUUCAACGAGGAAUUCCUAGUAAACGCAAGUCAUCAGCUCGCGUUGAUUACGUCCCUGCCCUUUGUACACACCGCCCGUCGCUACUACCGAUUGAACGUUUUAGUGAGGUAUUUGGAUCGCUCGCGUCGGGGAUUUCGGUCUCCUUCGCCGAGUGAGAAGACUCCCAAACUUGAGCGUUUGGAGGAAGUAAAAGUCGUAACA
Molecule: ribosomal RNA, 328 nt
Filed under: uncultured eukaryote
Lineage: Eukaryota
Description: partial 18S ribosomal RNA
Rfam family: Eukaryotic small subunit ribosomal RNA
Source: RNAcentral